AACGCACCUUCGGGUGUUAGUAGAGUGGCGCACGGGUGAGUAACGCGUGGGAACCUACCAAGCAGUACGGGAUAACCAUUGGAAACGAUGGCUAAUACCGCAUACGCCCUUCGGGGGAAAGAUUUAUCGCUGCUUGAUGGUCCCGCGUCUGAUUAGCUAGUUGGUAAGGUAAUGGCUUACCAAGGCGACGAUCAGUAGCUGGUCUGAGAGGAUGAUCAGCCACACUGGAACUGAGACACGGUCCAGACUCC
RNAcentral lists this ribosomal RNA (251 nucleotides) under uncultured bacterium. Its description in RNAcentral is "partial 16S ribosomal RNA". It matches the Rfam family "Bacterial small subunit ribosomal RNA", at positions 71 to 339 of the family's 1533-position model. The record is from RNAcentral.